CCACAUUGAAACACCGGUUCCUAUAUGAUCAACGAAGUUAAGCAACAUCAAGCCUGGUCAGUACCUAGAUGGGUGACCACUUUAAGAAUACCAGGUGCUGUAAG
This is a non-coding RNA of Acanthosepion pharaonis, 104 nucleotides long. Lineage: Eukaryota; Metazoa; Mollusca; Cephalopoda; Sepiida; Sepiidae. The record is from the annotation of a GenBank genome assembly.